Molecule: ribosomal RNA, 817 nt
Filed under: Microbacterium barkeri
Lineage: Bacteria; Bacillati; Actinomycetota; Actinomycetes; Micrococcales; Microbacteriaceae
Description: bacterial SSU rRNA
Rfam family: Bacterial small subunit ribosomal RNA
Source: RNAcentral
AGCCCAGCUUGCUGGGUGGAUUAGUGGCGAACGGGUGAGUAACACGUGAGCAACCUGCCCCUGACUCUGGGAUAACAGCCGGAAACGGUUGCUAAUACCGGAUAUGCAUCAUGGCCGCAUGGUCUGUGGUGGGAAAGAUUUUUCGGUUGGGGAUGGGCUCGCGGCCUAUCAGCUUGUUGGUGAGGUAGUGGCUCACCAAGGCGUCGACGGGUAGCCGGCCUGAGAGGGUGACCGGCCACACUGGGACUGAGACACGGCCCAGACUCCUACGGGAGGCAGCAGUGGGGAAUAUUGCACAAUGGGCGGAAGCCUGAUGCAGCAACGCCGCGUGAGGGAUGACGGCCUUCGGGUUGUAAACCUCUUUUAGCAGGGAAGAAGCGAAAGUGACGGUACCUGCAGAAAAAGCGCCGGCUAACUACGUGCCAGCAGCCGCGGUAAUACGUAGGGCGCAAGCGUUAUCCGGAAUUAUUGGGCGUAAAGAGCUCGUAGGCGGUUUGUCGCGUCUGCUGUGAAAACCCGAGGCUCAACCUCGGGCCUGCAGUGGGUACGGGCAGACUAGAGUGCGGUAGGGGAGAUUGGAAUUCCUGGUGUAGCGGUGGAAUGCGCAGAUAUCAGGAGGAACACCGAUGGCGAAGGCAGAUCUCUGGGCCGUUACUGACGCUGAGGAGCGAAAGGGUGGGGAGCAAACAGGCUUAGAUACCCUGGUAGUCCACCCCGUAAACGUUGGGAACUAGUUGUGGGGGCCUUUCCACGGUCUCCGUGACGCAGCUAACGCAUUAAGUUCCCCGCCUGGGGAGUACGGCCGCAAGGCUAAAAC